GCGGAAGUAGCUCAGUGGUAGAGCACAACCUUGCCAAGGUUGGGGUCGCGGGUUCGAGUCCCGUUUUCCGCU
This is a transfer RNA of Veillonellaceae bacterium DNF00626, 72 nucleotides long. It matches the Rfam family "tRNA". Rfam says of the family: Transfer RNA (tRNA) molecules are approximately 80 nucleotides in length. Their secondary structure includes four short double-helical elements and three loops (D, anti-codon, and T loops). The record is from Rfam. NCBI's taxonomy places the organism in Bacteria, Bacillati, Bacillota, Negativicutes, Veillonellales, Veillonellaceae.